GCUACAACUAAAUUUUUGCACAGGUCUACAGAUGCAGAUCCUCCCUCUUUCUUAUUAUGGUGGGGGAGAUCUGAGAAUUUUUAAAAUUCUUUGGAGACCCAUAGCCAUUGAAAUGAGAUGACUAGCCAUCACUUUGGGGGGGAUGGAGGACAAUGGCAAGUUCACAUCCUAAUGUCAUUAGGUUUAAUAUCCCCCACCUGAAGCCUGUGG
Pelobates cultripes (western spadefoot toad) is the source of this 210-nucleotide non-coding RNA. The record is from the annotation of a GenBank genome assembly. Lineage: Eukaryota; Metazoa; Chordata; Amphibia; Anura; Pelobatidae.